CUCCAGGGGGCUCCCCCCGGGCGGUAGAGGUAACACUCUUACGCGCCACAUGUCUGAAUCCUUUUUUUACGAGCACCUUUCGUUCUCCUUCGGUGGGGCAACCUGCCGUUGGAACUUAUCAAAACCUUUUUUGCAUCUAGCAUUACCUGUUCAGAUACAAACAAUCGUUACAACUUUCAACAAUGGAUCUCUUGGCUCUGGCAUCGAUGAAGAACGCAGCGAAAUGCGAUAAGUAGUGUGAAUUGCAGAAUUCAGUGAAUCAUCGAAUCUUUGAACGCACAUUGCGCCCCUUGGUAUUCCAUGGGGCAUGCCUGUUCGAGCGUCAUCUACACCCUCAAGCUCUGCUUGGUGUUGGGCGUCUGUCCCGCCUCUGCGCGUGGACUCGCCCCAAAUUCAUUGGCAGCGGUCUUUGCCUCCUCUCGCGCAGCACAUUGCGCUUUAGAGGGGUGUGGGCCGCGUCCACGAAGCAACAUUAUCGUCUUUGACCUCGGAUCAGGUAGGGAUACCCGCUGAACUUAAGCAUAUCAAUAAGCGGAGGAA
RNAcentral lists this ribosomal RNA (540 nucleotides) under Microsphaeropsis sp. TA26-19. RNAcentral describes it as "eukaryotic LSU rRNA". The stretch from base 172 to 325 matches the Rfam family "5.8S ribosomal RNA". The record is from RNAcentral. Lineage: Eukaryota; Fungi; Ascomycota; Dothideomycetes; Pleosporales; Didymellaceae.